GAAGAUCUCUCUCAUUCGUUCUGAGGGGGCGGGGCUUAGAUCACGUCAUACUAUGAUGACAUAGAAUUUUCAGGCAUCACAUCAGGAUCACUCAGGCCAAGUUUGGUGCAGCUCGGUCGAAACAUGUGGAAUCUAGAAGCAAACUUAUGGCAUCGGCGUUACAGGUCACUUCGCCACGCCGCCACACCCACCUGCUAUGUCAAAGCCGGUCGGGGUUGGAAUCCACAACACACCAACAUGUCUUCUGUCUCUGGACACAGUUUCAUGU
Xiphophorus couchianus (Monterrey platyfish) is the source of this 268-nucleotide long non-coding RNA. RefSeq lists it as uncharacterized. Lineage: Eukaryota; Metazoa; Chordata; Actinopteri; Cyprinodontiformes; Poeciliidae. The record is from RefSeq and is a predicted model, not a curated record. The transcript is spliced from 2 exons.